AUUGAACGCUGGCGGCAUGCCUUACACAUGCAAGUCGAACGGCAGCACGGGAGCAAUCCUGGUGGCGAGUGGCGAACGGGUGAGUAAUAUAUCGGAACGUGCCCAGUCGUGGGGGAUAACGUAGCGAAAGCUACGCUAAUACCGCAUACGAUCUACGGAUGAAAGCGGGGGAUCGCAAGACCUCGCGCGAUUGGAGCGGCCGAUAUCAGAUUAGCUAGUUGGUGGGGUAAAAGCUCACCAAGGCGACGAUCUGUAGCUGGUCUGAGAGGACGACCAGCCACACUGGAACUGAGACACGGUCCAGACUCCUACGGGAGGCAGCAGUGGGGAAUUUUGGACAAUGGGCGCAAGCCUGAUCCAGCAAUGCCGCGUGCAGGAUGAAGGCCUUCGGUUGUAAACUGCUUUGUACGGAACGAAACGGUGAGCUCUAAUAAAGACUUGCUAAUGACGGUACCGUAAGAAUAAGCACCGGCUAACU
This 478-nucleotide ribosomal RNA is filed under the name uncultured bacterium. RNAcentral's name for it is "bacterial SSU rRNA". It matches the Rfam family "Bacterial small subunit ribosomal RNA", at positions 30 to 502 of the family's 1533-position model. The record is from RNAcentral.